RNAcentral lists this ribosomal RNA (425 nucleotides) under uncultured bacterium. RNAcentral's name for it is "bacterial SSU rRNA". It matches the Rfam family "Bacterial small subunit ribosomal RNA", at positions 356 to 773 of the family's 1533-position model. The record is from RNAcentral.
GGGGAAUAUUGGACAAUGGGGGCAACCCUGAUCCAGCCAUGCCGCGUGUGUGAAGAAGGCCUUCGGGUUGUAAAGCACUUUAAGCGGGGAGGAAGGCCUGAUGGCUAAUAUCCAUCGGGAUUGACGUUACCCGCAGAAUAAGCACCGGCAAACUUCGUGCCAGCAGCCGCGGUAAUACGAAGGGUGCGAGCGUUAAUCGGAAUUACUGGGCGUAAAGCGCGCGUAGGUGGUUAAGUAAGCGAGCUGUGAAAGCCCCGGGCUUAACCUGGGAACUGCAGGUCGAACUGCGUGGCUAGAGUAUGGUAGAGGGGUGUGGAAUUUCCGGUGUAGCGGUGAAAUGCGUAGAUAUAGGAAGGAACAGCAGGGGCGAAGGCGACACCCUGGACCGAUACUGACACUGAGGCGCGAAAGCGUGGGUAGCGAAC